Molecule: long non-coding RNA, 2501 nt
Organism: Dama dama (fallow deer)
Lineage: Eukaryota; Metazoa; Chordata; Mammalia; Artiodactyla; Cervidae
Exons: 6
Source: RefSeq, a predicted model, not a curated record
AGUCGGCCUUGGGCGGCACAGGUGUAGGCUGUCUGUCUUGCCCUGAGGUCAGCGGUUAAAGCAGGUGAAGCCCCCGAGAGGCUCAAGACUUGUACAGCAUCUUCUAGUUUCAAGGGCAGCCCUCUUCUCACCCCACUUACCUGGUUCUGGCUGAGAAGAACGGUGCUUGCUCUAAGGGCCCGUGGGAGCUGGAAGGGGCAGCUCAGAAGCCCAGAGAGGCACUGAGGACGUGGAGUCUUUGGCGGCUGUGGCAGCCGGGACUGGAGCUCAGACCACAGGGCAAGGACUGUAGUGGCUCCUAAGAAACUCAGCAGCUUGUCUGACUCGGCAAGGUUGGUUUUCUGCCCAAGGCUUCACUGGCUGAAGUCAGGGUGUCGGCUGGCUGAGAAGGAGCCACAACCGUACCCCUUGGAUCUCCAGUUCACUCUGAAGCAGGGACCUCUUCAACUUAGGGGUCAUAGACCCAGGCAGAUCCUCUGCACCUCUCUGGGCAAGGCACCAUCGGCAGCACACGGGAUCUUUAGUUGCAGCAUGCAGGAUCUAGUUUCCUGGCCAGGGAUUGAAUCCGGGCCCCCCUGCAUUGGGAAUGCAGAGUCUUAGCCAUUGGACCACCGGGGAAGUUCUAGCAGACCAGCUCAUGGCAACCACCAUCCUAUGUUCUAUCUCUAUGAAUUUGACAACAGUGAACAUGAAGAAGCUCAGUCAUGUCCGACUCUUUGCGACCCCGUGGACUGUAGCCCACCAGGCUCCUCCGUCCAUGGGAUUCUCCAGGCAAGAAUACUUGAAGCAUCCUCGGCACACGGGCUUAGCUGCACACGCCAUGGGGGAUCUUCUUGGAGCAGGGAUCAAACCCAUGUCCUCUGUAGUGGCAGGCAGAUUCUUAACCACUGGACCACCAGGGGAGUCCCCCCUAUAUUUCCUGGUUAUUUUGGUGGUUACAAGUUGCUCAAGAUUCUCCAAACCAGGCUUCAACCGUAUGUGAACCCAUGAACUUCCAGAUGUUCAAGCUGGAUUUCGAAAAGGCAGAGGAACCAGAGAUCAAAUUGCCAACAUUUCAUUGGAUCAUCAAAAAAGCAAGAGAAUACCAGAAAAACAUCUACUUCUGCUUCAUUGUGACAAAAAGCCUUUGACUGUGUGGAUCACAACAAACUGUGGAAAAUUCUUCAAGAGAUGGGCAUACCAGACCACCUUACCUGUCUCUUGAGAAGUCUGUAUGCAGGUCAAGAAGCAACAGUUAGAACCGGACAUGGAACAACAGACUGGUUCCAAAUUGGGAAAGGAGUAUGUCAAGGCUAUGUAUUGUCACCCUGCUUAUUUAACUUAUAUGCAGAGUACAUCGUGUGAAAUGCCAGGCUGGAUGAAGCACAAUUUGAAAUCAAUAUUGCCAGGAGAAAUAUCAAUAACCUCAGAUAUGCAGAUGACAUCACCCUUAUGGCAGAAAGCAAAGAAGAACUAAAGAGCCUCUUGAUGAAAGUGAAAGAGAAGGGUGAAAAAGCUGGCUUGAAACUCAACAUUCAAAAACAAGAUCAUGGCAUCUGGUCCAUGGUUAUGGCAUCACUUCAUGUCAAAUAGGUGGGGAAACAAAGGAAACAGUGACACACUUUAUUUUUCUGGGCUCCAAAAUCACUGCAGAUGGUGACCGCAGCCAUGAAAUUAAAAGAUGCUUGCUCCUUGGAAGACAAACUAUGACCAACCUAGACAGCAUAUUAAAAAGCAGACAUUACUUUGCCAACAAAGGUCCAUCUAGUCAAAGCUAUGGUUUUUGUAGUAGUCAUGUAUGGAUGUGAGAGUUGGACUAUAAAGAAAGCUGAGCACCAAAGAAUUGAUGCUUUAGAACUGUGGUGUUGGAGAAGACUCUUGAGAGUCCCUUGGACAGCAGGGAAAUCAAACCAGUCCAUCCUAAAGGAAAUCAGUCCUGAGCAUUCAUUGGAAGGACUGAUGCUGAAGCUGAAACUCUAGUCCUUUGGCCACCUGAUGCGAAGAACUGACUCACUGGAAAAGACCCUGAUGCUGGUAAAGAUUGAAGGCAGGAGGAGAAGGGGACAACAGAGGAUGAGAUGGUUGGAUGGCAUCACUGACUUGAUGGACAUGGGUUUGAGCAAGCUCUGGGAGUUGUUGGUGAUGGACAGGGAAGCCUGGCAUGCUGCAGGUCUUGGGGUCACAAAGAGUCAGACACGACUGAGUGAACUGAACUGAAUAAUAGUGCUAUGAAUAAUCCUACACAGGUUUCUGUGUAAACACUUGUUUUCAUUUCUCUGGGAUAAUAUCCAGGAAUGCAUUUGCUGGAUCACGUCAUAAGUGUAUGUUUAGCUUUUUCUCCAGUGACUGUACCAUUUUCCCUGCCCACCAGCAAUAUAUGAGAACAAGUUUCUUCACAUUCUUGCCAGCAUUUGGUACUGUCACUGUUUUUCAUUUUAACUGUUGUAAUAGGCGUGUAAAGUGUUAAUCUCAUUUUCCUACUGGCUGGUACUGCUGACUAUCUUUUCAGGUGCUUAUUUGCC